This 301-nucleotide ribosomal RNA is filed under the name uncultured bacterium. RNAcentral's name for it is "partial 16S ribosomal RNA". It matches the Rfam family "Bacterial small subunit ribosomal RNA", at positions 509 to 807 of the family's 1533-position model. The record is from RNAcentral.
CAGCAGCCGCGGGAAUACAGAGGGUGCAAGCGUUAAUCGGAUUUACUGGGCGUAAAGGGCGCGUAGGUGGUUAUUUAGGUGAGAUGUGAAAGCCCCGGGCUUAACCUGGGAACUGCAUCUUAUACUGGGUAACUGGAGUGCAGUAGAGGGUAGUGGAAUUUCCGGUGUAGCGGUGAAAUGCGUAGAUAUCGGAAGGAACACCAGUGGCGAAGGCGGCUACCUGGACUGAGACUGACACUGAGGCGCGAGAGCGUGGGGAGCAAACAGGAUUAGAUACCCACGUAGUCCCUGUCUCUUAUAC